GAUGAACGCUGACAGCAUGCUUAACACAUGCAAGUCCACUUGACUGUCGGGGUUUUUCUUAGGUUUGGGUGGCGGACGGGUGAGUAACGCGUAAAUAACUUGCCUCACAGCUAGGGAGAAAAUUUGGAAACGAAUGCUAAUACCUAAUAUUAUGUUAAUAGAGCAUCCUAUAUUUAUGAAAGCUAUAGGCGCUGUUAUAGAUUUUUGAGUCACAUUAGCUAGUUGGAGAGGUAACGGAUCACCAAGGCGAUGAUGGGUAGCCGGCCUGAGAGGGUGACCGGCUACAAGCGGAUAGAGACAGGGCCAGUACUCAUACGUGCGGCAGCAGUGGAGAAUAUUGGAAGAAGGACCACGAGUGUGAUGAAGCAAUUCUGUGUGUACGAUGCAGUUUUUCGGGAUGUAAAGUGGUUUCAGUUGGGAAGAACGACUUGACGGUACCAACAGAAGAAGUGACGGCUAAAUACGUG
This 467-nucleotide ribosomal RNA is filed under the name uncultured bacterium. RNAcentral describes it as "partial 16S ribosomal RNA". It matches the Rfam family "Bacterial small subunit ribosomal RNA", at positions 28 to 507 of the family's 1533-position model. The record is from RNAcentral.